AGAAUGAACCGGCGAGUUACUGUAUGGAGCGAGGUUAAGCAGGAUAUGCGGAGCCGAAGCGAAAGCGAGUCUUAAGAGGGCGAAAGUUGCAUGCAGUAGACCCGAAACCGGGUGAUCUAGCCAUGACCAGGUUGAAGUUGGGGUAAAACCCGAUGGAGGACCGAACCGACCCCCGUUGAAACGUUGGCGGAUGAGUUGUGGCUAGGGGUGAAAUUCCAAUCGAACCCGGAGAUAGCUGGUUCUCCCCGAAAUAGCUUUAGGGCUAGCGUCGAGGUAGAGAGUUGCGUGAAGGUAGAGCACUGAAUAUGUGAUGGCCCCAUCUCGGGGUACUGAGCAUAAUCAAACUGCGAAUGUCACGGAAACAUACUCGGCAGUCAGACAGCGGGUGAUAAGGUCCGUUGUCAAGAGGGAAACAGCCCAGACCAUCAGCUAAGGUCCCAAAAUGUAUGCUAAGUGGAAAAGGAUGUGGAGAUGUACAGACANNNNNNNNNNAGACAACUAGGAGGUUGGCUCAGAAGCAGCCAUCCUUUAAAGAGUGCGUAACAGCUCACUAGUCGAAUGACUCUGCGCCGAUAAUUUACCGGGGCUAAGCAUACUACCGAAGCUAUGGAUCCCAAGGGAUGGUAGGGGAGCGUUCCAUGAACGGAGAAGCGUGAUCGAGAGGACGCGUGGAGAUCAUGGAAGAGAGAAUGCCGGUGUGAGUAGCGGAACGUGGGUGAGAAUCCCACGCACCGAAAACCCAAGGUUUCCAGAGGAAGGUUCGUCCGCUCUGGGUAAGUCGGGACCUAAGGCGAGGCCGAGAGGCGUAGUCGAUGGACAACAGGUAGAGAUUCCUGUACUCAUAUAUAUGUGAAGGAAUGACGGAGAGAGGAAGCUGCAGCCAGCGGCUGGAAGAGCUGGNNNNNNNNNNGAAGAGCUGGUGCAAGCGAGAUAUCGGGAUGGCAGGCAAAUCCACCAUCCGAAACGAGAAGGCGUGAAGCGUACGGAAAGCUAAGGCGAGUACGGAAGGCAGUGGAGGAGCUUCCAAGAAAAGUUUCUAACGAAAGUAUAUGUGACCCGUACCGAAAAUGGACACACAUGGGUGAGGAGAGAAUCCUAAGGUGAGCGAGAGAACUAUAGCUAAGGAACUCUGCAAAAUGACUCCGUAACUUAGGGAGAAGGAGUGCUCAUAGAGAUAUGAGCCGCAGUGAAACGGCCCAAGCGACUGUUUACCAAAAACACAGCUCUCUGCUAAGCCGCAAGGCGAAGUAUAGGGGGUGACGCCUGCCCGGUGCUGGAAGGUUAAGGGGAGGGGUUAACGCAAGUGAAGCCCUGAACUGAAGCCCCAGUAAACGGCGGCCGUAACUAUAACGGUCCUAAGGUAGCGAAAUUCCUUGUCAGGUAAGUUCUGACCCGCACGAAAGGCGUAACGAUUUGGGCGCUGUCUCAGCUGUAGACUCGGUGAAGUCUUAGUACCUGUGAAGAUGCAGGUUACCCGCGACUAGACGGAAAGACCCCAUGGAGCUUCACUGCAGGUUGAUAUUGGGAUUUGAUGCAGCAUGUACAGGAUAGGUAGGAGGCAAGGAGAUGGAUACGCCAGUAUUCAAGGAGCCGCUGUUGGGAUACUACCCCUGUUGUAUUGGAUUUCUAACCGGACGACGUAAAGCCGUUGACGGGACAGUGUCAGUCGGGCAGUUUGACUGGGGCGGUCGCCUCCCAAAGAGUAACGGAGGCGCCCAAAGAUACNNNNNNNNNNNNNNNNNNNNNNNNNNNNNNAAACCAAGCGCAGAGUGCAAAGGCAAAAGGGUGUUUGACUGCGAGACCCACAAGUCGAGCAGGGACGAAAGUCGGGCUUAGUGAUCCGGCGGUGCUGAAUGGAAAGGCCGUCGCUCAACGGAUAAAAGCUACCCUGGGGAUAACAGGCUGAUCUCCCCCAAGAGUCCACAUCGACGGGGAGGUUUGGCACCUCGAUGUCGGCUCAUCGCAUCCUGGAGCUGAAGUCGGUUCCAAGGGUUGGGCUGUUCGCCCAUUAAAGCGGUACGCGAGCUGGGUUCAGAACGUCGUGAGACAGUUCGGUCCCUAUCCGGCGCGGGCGUAGGAUAUCUGAGAGGAGCUGUCCUUAGUACGAGAGGACCGGGAUGGACAGACCGCUGGUGCAUCUGUUGGCAUACCAAUGCCAUGGCAGAGUAGCCAAGUCUGGACGGGAUAAACGCUGAAG
This 2197-nucleotide ribosomal RNA is filed under the name Enterocloster aldenensis. RNAcentral describes it as "[Clostridium] aldenense partial 23S ribosomal RNA". It matches the Rfam family "Bacterial large subunit ribosomal RNA", at positions 612 to 2776 of the family's 2925-position model. The record is from RNAcentral. Lineage: Bacteria; Bacillati; Bacillota; Clostridia; Lachnospirales; Lachnospiraceae.